RNAcentral lists this ribosomal RNA (844 nucleotides) under Streptomyces sp. RNAcentral describes it as "bacterial SSU rRNA". It matches the Rfam family "Bacterial small subunit ribosomal RNA", at positions 54 to 913 of the family's 1533-position model. The record is from RNAcentral. Lineage: Bacteria; Bacillati; Actinomycetota; Actinomycetes; Kitasatosporales; Streptomycetaceae.
CAUGCAGUCGACGAUGAUCCGGUUUCGGCCGGUGAUUAGUGGCGAACGGGUGAGUAACACGUGGGUAAUCUGCCCUGCACUCUGGGAUAAGCCUGGGAAACUGGGUCUAAUACCGGAUAUGACCUUCGGUCGCAUGAUCGUUGGUGGAAAGCUUUUGCGGUGUGGGAUGGGCCCGCGGCCUAUCAGCUUGUUGGUGGGGUAGUGGCCUACCAAGGCGACGACGGGUAGCCGGCCUGAGAGGGUGACCGGCCACACUGGGACUGAGACACGGCCCAGACUCCUACGGGAGGCAGCAGUGGGGAAUAUUGCACAAUGGGCGCAAGCCUGAUGCAGCGACGCCGCGUGAGGGAUGACGGCCUUCGGGUUGUAAACCUCUUUCAGCAGGGAAGAAGCGCAAGUGACGGUACCUGCAGAAGAAGCACCGGCUAACUACGUGCCAGCAGCCGCGGUAAUACGUAGGGUGCAAGCGUUGUCCGGAAUUAUUGGGCGUAAAGAGCUCGUAGGCGGCUUGUCGCGUCGGUUGUGAAAGCCCGGGGCUUAACCCUGGGUCUGCAGUCGAUACGGGCAGGCUAGAGUUCGGUAGGGGAGACUGGAAUUCCUGGUGUAGCGGUGAAAUGCGCAGAUAUCAGGAGGAACACCGGUGGCGAAGGCGGGUCUCUGGGCCGAUACUGACGCUGAGGAGCGAAAGCGUGGGGAGCGAACAGGAUUAGAUACCCUGGUAGUCCACGCUGUAAACGGUGGGAACUAGGUGUGGGCAGCAUUCCACGUUGUCUGUGCCGCAGCUAACGCAUUAAGUUCCCCGCCUGGGGAGUACGGCCGCAAGGCUAAAACUCAAAGGAAUUGA